AUUGAACGCUGGCGGCAUGCCUUACACAUGCAAGUCGAACGGCAGCACGGGAGCAAUCCUGGUGGCGAGUGGCGAACGGGUGAGUAAUAUAUCGGAACGUGCCCAGUCGUGGGGAUAACGUAGCGAAAGCUACGCUAAUACCGCAUACGAUCUAUGGAUGAAAGCGGGGGAUCGCAAGGACCUCGCGCGAUUGGAGCGGCCGAUAUCAGAUUAGGUAGUUGGUGAGGUAAAGGCUCGCCAAGCCGACGAUCUGUAGCUGGUCUGAGAGGACGACCAGCCACACUGGGACUGAGACACGGGCCCAGACUCCUACGGGAGGCAGCAGUGGGGAAUUUUGGACAAUGGGCGCAAGCCUGAUCCAGCAAUGCCGCGUGCAGGAUGAAGGCCUCGGUUGUAAC
RNAcentral lists this ribosomal RNA (398 nucleotides) under uncultured bacterium. RNAcentral describes it as "bacterial SSU rRNA". It matches the Rfam family "Bacterial small subunit ribosomal RNA", at positions 30 to 429 of the family's 1533-position model. The record is from RNAcentral.